AACGAACGCUGGCGGCAGGCCUAACACAUGCAAGUCGAGCGAGGACUUCGGUCCUAGCGGCGGACGGGUGAGUAACGCGUGGGAACGUGCCCUUUGCUUCGGAAUAGCCCUGGGAAACUGGGAGUAAUACCGGAUGAGCCCUUUGGGGGAAAGAUUUAUCGGCGAAGGAUCGGCCCGCGUUGGAUUAGGUAGUUGGUGGGGUAAUGGCCUACCAAGCCGACGAUCCAUAGCUGGUUUGAGAGGAUGAUCAGCCACACUGGGACUGAGACACGGCCCAGACUCCUACGGGAGGCAGCAGUGGGGAAUCUUAGGCAAUGGGGGAAACCCUGAUCUAGCCAUGCCGCGUGAGCGAUGAAGGCCUUAGGGUUGUAAAGCUCUUUCAGCUGGGAAGAUAAUGACGGUACCAGCAGAAGAAGCCCCGGCUAACUCCGUG
RNAcentral lists this ribosomal RNA (433 nucleotides) under uncultured bacterium. RNAcentral describes it as "partial 16S ribosomal RNA". It matches the Rfam family "Bacterial small subunit ribosomal RNA", at positions 29 to 507 of the family's 1533-position model. The record is from RNAcentral.